Molecule: long non-coding RNA, 2126 nt
Organism: Chenopodium quinoa (quinoa)
Lineage: Eukaryota; Viridiplantae; Streptophyta; Magnoliopsida; Caryophyllales; Amaranthaceae
Exons: 3
Source: RefSeq, a predicted model, not a curated record
UUAUGUAUGUAGUGGUAUUAUAUAUUCAUUCAGUGGUACUCACUACGUGUAGAAAUAGUAUCACUACGGUAAAAAUAGUAUCACUACAUAGUCAAUGGUACUACCUAAGCUUUCAACGGUACAUUUAAAAAAUGACCCCACUUACCCAUAUCUCUCCUCCUUUCUCUCAUCUCCACGUGCUUUUUAAUAUUUUAGUGUUUGUUAUGCAUUUGCAAAUGCAUAACUAACCUCCCUAAGUACUUCCUCCACAAUAGACAACCCAAAUUAAAUCACACAUAUUCAAUUCAUUUCCAUGCACUUUCUCUCUCCUCAACCAUUUUCUCUCUCCUCCAUUGCAAUGAGCUUUCUCUAUCAAAUUGGGUAUAAUUUGCUGCAAAAUCGUCUCGAUCUUGCUGAAAUUGCUUCAAAUUUGUCAAGAUCUUGUUGGAAAUUCAAUUUUUCUUGUUUAAUUUGGUGAAUUUAGGUCAAAUUUCUUCUACGACUCUGAAUUUUGAGCGGCAUUUGAGGUAAAGCUACUAUUUACAUUAUAUGUCCGUGUUGCGGGAAGGCCCAGGAAACAAUAAUGUAUGCUCUUUUUCAGUGUACUGAAGCUCGGAUGAUACGGUUGAUCAAACCUAUCUACAUGUACAAUUUGAUGACUUUGCUACAAUUUUCUCAACUUUAGAGAUAACCAUUGCGAUUUGAGUUUCAUUUGUAAGUUAAUGAUUUCUCUACUAUUUUAUCAGGAGCUUUCUUCGAUCUUAGGUUAGGAUUUUAAAUAUUUUCUCAUCUAGAUUUUGAUAAAUUAAUUUAUAGUUUUAUCUAAUUUGUCUAUUUUUUUUAAUGUUUCUGCUAUCUUUUUACUGAAUUUUGGAUUUUGAUUUGUAUAUUUUUAGACAGAUGAUCCUUACGUUUUGAGUGAACUUAAGACCUAAUCGAUUUGUAGCUAUCUAAAUUGUUAAUAGAUGAAUGAUUAUUGCUAUUUGUUCUUUUUUUUUUAGUAGACUACAUAUCCUUAAAACUAAACUAAAUCUCUUUUAAAGUAAAUUAAAUUUCAAUGCACACUAACUGUUUGACAAAAUGCCUCAAUGAAUCUUACUAUCAUUUAAUCAAUUUCAAAAGUAGAUAGAAACAGAGUAAAAGUAGAUCAAUUAAAUUUUAAAGUAAAUUGAAAGACUAAAAUUGUGAUGCAGAACAAGUUAAUAAUUUGUUGAAUAUGCACUAAUGUUCAUAUGUUUUUUUGUUCUUCCAGAUUUUGUAAAAGAAUAUUUAAGCUCCCCCUUCACAAUUACAACUUCUAGUCCUUUAAUUUAGAUUCUAAUCUGAACAUGCAUAGGGAUUUUGUUGGUCUGCUAAGCAACCUAAGUAAACUUGAUUUUCUUAAAAGUAAACUAAUUCGGUCCCAAAGUAGAUAAUUAUUUUGCUGGUAGGUAGCAAUUUCCAACUUGAGUCCACGAGAUGUAGCUUUAUAUAAUAUGUAGGUAUGACAAGCAUAGUUUUUAAUAAUUAGAACUUGGAGAAGAACAAAGAUUGGAAACUUGUAACUCAUAGCUAAAUGAGAUAAGAUAUACUCACUUGGUACUUCUUUCUAUCUUUAGGUUUUGUUUUGCUCUGGUGAUCUGGUCUUUUGAUUGGAGAUUUUUUUUUGUGCUAGCUCCUUUUUUUUUUUUUUUUUUUUAUGUGCUUAUUUUUCCAGUUUUGUUCUUACAUUCACUUUACAUGUGAAGUAACUGAAAUGCAUUAUGUCGUCGUAGAUAUGGUACUUGUUUACUUAUGGUAGUUGUUUACUUAUAAAUGUGUAUCUUGUUCCUUCUGCUCUCUAAGAAACUUGUUGGUAGGGUAAGUUAAUAGCAAGAUUAAGGAGAGGAGAGGAGAGUAUAUAGUGUAAUGUGGAUUGAAUUUUACUUUAUAAAACGAGAUAUGUUUUAAAGAAGACUAAUAUAUUUUUACUCUAUAGUAUGAGUGUUGUGUGUCAUCCAUAGCAUGAUCACAAUCCUAAGUGGUCUCAAAAUAUAAAUAACAAUGAAUCUAAAGUGAAUUAAAAAGAAUUUAAAGUAAACCUAUUAGCUCAAGUGGUAGAACACUAUGCGAAUGUAUAGAGGUGUAGUUUUGAUUCCUACAUAGGUUAUCUAUAAAAAUAUAUACUA